GUCCACGCCGUAAACGGUGGGCGCUAGUUGUGCGAACCUUCCACGGUUUGUGCGACGCAGCUAACGCAUUAAGCGCCCCGCCUGGGGAGGUACGAUCGCAAGAUUAAACUACAAGGAAUUGACGGGGCCCCGGCACAAGCAGCGGAGCAUGCGGCUUAAUUCGACGCAACGCGAAGAACCUUACCCAAGGCUUGACAUAUACAGGGAAUACGGCAGAGAUGUCGUAGCCGCAAGGUCUGUAUACAGGUUGUGCAUGGUUGUCGU
Molecule: ribosomal RNA, 264 nt
Filed under: uncultured bacterium
Lineage: Bacteria
Description: partial 16S ribosomal RNA
Rfam family: Bacterial small subunit ribosomal RNA
Source: RNAcentral